CCUACGGGUGGCAGCAGUAGGGAAUUUUGCGCAAUGGGCGAAAGCCUGACGCAGCAACACCGCGUGAAUGUUAAGCCCUUCGGGGUGUAAAGUUCUGUCAAUAGGGACGAAUUUUGACUGUACCUAUAAAGGAAGCACCGGCUAACUCCGUGCCAGCAGCCGCGGUAAUACGGGGGGUGCAAGCGUUAUCCGGAUUUAUUGGGUUUAAAGGGUGCGUAGGCGGUCCGUUAAGUCAGCGGUAAAAUUGCGGGGCUCAACCCCGUCGAGCCGUUGAAACUGGCAGACUUGAGUUGGCGAGAAGUACGCGGAAUGCGCGGUGUAGCGGUGAAAUGCAUAGAUAUCGCGCAGAACUCCGAUUGCGAAGGCAGCGUACCGGCGCCAGACUGACGCUGAGGCACGAAAGCGUGGGGAUCGAACAGGAUUAGAUACCCCAGUAGUC
RNAcentral lists this ribosomal RNA (439 nucleotides) under uncultured bacterium. RNAcentral's name for it is "partial 16S ribosomal RNA". It matches the Rfam family "Bacterial small subunit ribosomal RNA", at positions 338 to 795 of the family's 1533-position model. The record is from RNAcentral.